CGCAGAGCUGCACCCCGCCCCCGCCAAGCACUGCCGCACCCCGCGGCUCUGCAGCCUCUUUAGCGGCACCAGGACAGGUCCCCGGCACGUGUGUUCACUGAUGAGACGCUCCGGUUGCCUCAGCAUGUCUGCCCUUCAGGCCUCCAUCCCGGGGCCAGCGCCGACCCGGGCACUGCAUACAGACAAACGAGGUCUCUGUUCUCCAGGAGCUUAGGGCGGGGGGGCGACGGCGGCUAACGUGAAGUGUGGAAAGUGCGUGCACGAGAGGGUGGUGGGCCCAACUGUGCAGAGCCUGGGCGCGUGUGGCUGUCUUUGGCUUUUUGACUAGAGGGCAUUUCACGGGGUGUCUGGGCAGGGCACUGGGUCACAGGGAUCAGCAACACCAAAGCCUGCAGUCCAAGGAGUGGCCUCAGCAUGGCUCAGACAUAGGAAGGGGCAGUGGGGCUGGUGCUGUGGGCACCAGGGACUCCCAGUGAGGGGCCUGGCUUCCUGGCACAGCCACAGGGGAAGACUGAGGGGCCCGGGCACCAAGUAGGGGAGACAUUAGCAGGCCACUGCCAUCGUCCAGAGCGGGGUGGAGGUGACAGGCAUGGCGGGACCUGGGGUGGACCCGAGGGCAGAGCUGCUGUGCUGGCGAGGUGAGGAGGCAAAGGCCCCACGCGAGACUGAACUCAGUAUAGCACGUGCGCCGGGAAGCACACACGACCACAAGAUGGGAAGGGAGGCUGGGAGUGGAGGCUCACACCUGCAGUCCCAGCACUGUGGGAGGUGUAAGCCCCCAUGCUCGGCCAACUUCUGUUAAGUCACCCGGUUUGUGGCACUUUGUCAUAGCAGCCCCAGGAGACUAAUAAGGAAUAGAUAAAACUUCAUUUUCAAAUGGACACACUACGUUUUCCUACAGCGCUGCUGUGGAGCUGGGCUUCUACAGGGGAUGCUCAGGGCAAACCCCUCCUCGCCCGUGUCCAAGUGGAAGGUGGCAGGGCCCCAGGGCACCCAGACUCCACCCCACCUGGGCUGCGGCAGGAGAACUGCUUGAACCCAGGAGUCGGAGGUUGCAGUGAGUGGAGAUCGCGCCACUGCACUCCAGCCUGGGUGACAGAGUGAGACUCCAUCUCUCUCUCUCUCUCUCUCUCUCUCUCUCUCUCUCUCACACACACACACACACACACACACACACACACACACACACACACACACACACACUGAGUUUCAGGCCAGGCGCAGUGGCUCAUGCCGGUAAUCCCGGCACUUUGGGAGGCCAAAGUGGGCAGAUCACCUGAGGUCAGGGGUUCGAGACCAGCCUGGCCAACAUGGUGAAACCUUGUCUCUACUAAAAAUACAAAAAUCAGCCAGGCGUGGUGGUGCAGGCUGUAAUCCCAGCUACUUGGGAGGCUAAGGCAGGAGAAUCGCUUGAACCCAGGAGGCAGAGGUUGCAGUGAGCCGAGAUCGCACCACUGCACUCUAGCCUGGGCGAAAGAGUGAGACUCUGUCUUAAAAAAAUAAAAACAAAAGUAAAAAUAGUUUAAAACUAGGAGCAGCCUGAAGGCUCCUCAUGCCAGCGCCAUCCUCCGUGCACCUGCCAGCGCUUACUGACGCCGUCUCUGGGUCAGGUGUUCUGAGGCUGCUGGGGAUACACAGAGACCCUGUGUCCAAGGCAGCCCACACAUGCUGACUGUGGGGGGGUUGGCCUGCACCCGCGGUCCCUUCCGUAACUAAAGACUGCGGUGUCGGCCGCCUCAGGCAUGGCUACUAAAGACCCGCACAGACGGCCACAUAGUGUACACUCCAAUUACAGGAUCUGUCUGGAAGGCAGGUCCCUGGGGACAGAAGGUAGACGGGUGGGUGCCCGGGGGAGGGGGAAGGCGGGUUCACGCUAACGGGCACAGGGUCUGUUUUCGGGGUGAUGAAAACGUUCUGGAAUUUGCAGUUUGACAGUUGCACAACCUUCUGAACAUACAAAAAAACCACUGAAUUAUAUAAAGUGGUGAAUUUUAUGGUAUGUGAAUCAUAUAUCCCAUUUGAAAAGCAGACUGACAAAAAUUUGUUUCUAGGCAGGAAACAGGAAACUGG
This 2070-nucleotide long non-coding RNA is filed under the name Homo sapiens (human). Its description in RNAcentral is "HSALNT0270216". The record is from RNAcentral. Lineage: Eukaryota; Metazoa; Chordata; Mammalia; Primates; Hominidae.